AGAGUUUCGAUCCUGGCUCAGGACGAACGCUGGCGGCGUGCCUAACACAUGCAAGUCGAACGGACGAGGGGAGCUUGCUCCCCAAGUUAGUGGCGGACGGGUGAGUAACACGUGAGCAACCUGCCCUUCGAGGGGGACAACAGCUGGAAACGGCUGCUAAUACCGCAUGAUGUAUCUUGGAGGCAUCUCCGGGAUACCAAAGAUUUAUCGCCGAAGGAUGGGCUCGCGUCUGAUUAGAUAGUUGGUGGGGUAACGGCCUACCAAGUCGACGAUCAGUAGCCGGACUGAGAGGUUGAACGGCCACAUUGGGACUGAGAUACGGCCCAGACUCCUACGGGAGGCAGCAGUGGGGAAUAUUGGGCAAUGGGGCAACCCUGACCCAGCAACGCCGCGUGAAGGAAGAAGGCUUUCGGGUUGUAAACUUCUUUGACGAGGGACGAUAAUGACGGUACCUCGAAACAAGCCACGGCUAACUACGUGCC
This 482-nucleotide ribosomal RNA is filed under the name uncultured bacterium. RNAcentral's name for it is "bacterial SSU rRNA". It matches the Rfam family "Bacterial small subunit ribosomal RNA", at positions 8 to 509 of the family's 1533-position model. The record is from RNAcentral.